This 446-nucleotide ribosomal RNA is filed under the name uncultured bacterium. Its description in RNAcentral is "SSU rRNA". It matches the Rfam family "Bacterial small subunit ribosomal RNA", at positions 26 to 518 of the family's 1533-position model. The record is from RNAcentral.
AGAGCGAACGCUGGCGGCAGGCCUAAUACAUGCAAGUCGAACGGACCCUUCGGGGUUAGUGGCGGACGGGUGAGUAACACGUGGGAACGUGCCCUUUGGUUCGGAACAACUCAGGGAAACUUGAGCUAAUACCGGAUGUGCCCUUCGGGGGAAAGAUUUAUCGCCAUUGGAGCGGCCCGCGUCUGAUUAGCUAGUUGGUGGGGUAAAGGCCCACCAAGGCUACGAUCAGUAGCUGGUCUGAGAGGAUGAUCAGCCACACUGGGACUGAGACACGGCCCAGACUCCUACGGGAGGCAGCAGUAGGGAAUCUUGCGCAAUGGGCGAAAGCCUGACGCAGCCAUGCCGCGUGAAUGAUGAAGGUCUUAGGAUUGUAAAAUUCUUUCAGCGGGGACGAUAAUGACGGUACCCGCAGAAGACGCCCCGGCUAACUUCGUGCCAGCAGCCGC